GGCAUCGGGAAGAAAGCUUGCUUUCUUUGCCGGCGACCGGCGCACGGGUGAGUAACACGUAUCCAACCUGCCCUUUACUCGGGGAUAGCCUUUCGAAAGAAAGAUUAAUACCCGAUAGCAUAAUGAUUCCGCAUGGUUUCAUUAUUAAAGGAUUCCGGUAAAGGAUGGGGAUGCGUUCCAUUAGGUUGUUGGUGGGGUAACGGCCCACCAAGCCUUCGAUGGAUAGGGGUUCUGAGAGGAAAGGUCCCCCACAUUGGAACUGAGACACGGUCCAAACUCCUACGGGAGGCAGCAGUGAGGAAUAUUGGUCAAUGGGCGCUAGCCUGAACCAGCCAAGUAGCGUGAAGGAUGAAGGCUCUAUGGGUCGUAAACUUCUUUUAUAUAAGAAUAAAGUGCAGUAUGUAUACUGUUUUGUAUGUAUUAUAUGAAUAAGGAUCGGCUAACUCCGUGCCAGCAGCCGCGGUAAUACGGAGGAUCCGAGCGUUAUCCGGAUUUAUUGGGUUUAAAGGGAGCGUAGGUGGACUGGUAAGUCAGUUGUGAAAGUUUGCGGCUCAACCGUAAAAUUGCAGUUGAUACUGUCAGUCUUGAGUACAGUAGAGGUGGGCGGAAUUCGUGGUGUAGCGGUGAAAUGCUUAGAUAUCACGAAGAACUCCGAUUGCGAAGGCAGCUCACU
RNAcentral lists this ribosomal RNA (673 nucleotides) under uncultured Bacteroidales bacterium. Its description in RNAcentral is "bacterial SSU rRNA". It matches the Rfam family "Bacterial small subunit ribosomal RNA", at positions 68 to 730 of the family's 1533-position model. The record is from RNAcentral. Lineage: Bacteria; Pseudomonadati; Bacteroidota; Bacteroidia; Bacteroidales.